This 475-nucleotide long non-coding RNA is filed under the name Nicotiana benthamiana. RNAcentral describes it as "long non-coding RNA (NBEN_LNC042037)". The record is from RNAcentral. Lineage: Eukaryota; Viridiplantae; Streptophyta; Magnoliopsida; Solanales; Solanaceae.
UCAGAAUUAAAGAAACACAAUCAAACUGGAUAUUAUCUUUGAUUGAAGCUAUCCGAUGUAUAGAAGAGACCAUUAGGGGCUAAAUUCAGUACAAAAUUGCCAAUAUCCUUUUUACUACCUAAUAUAAACUACUGCUCUGUACAAUUCCAAGAAGUGGAGAGAAAAGAGAAGAACAAAAAGACUAUGGACAAAUUCCAUAACCCGAUUUUGUUGAAGGGUUAGCUGAAGUUAGCAUUAUACAACACUAUUUUGUAUAAAGGAUCGAGAUCUGUUUGCAUUGGAUGAAUUUUAGCUCCUUGAAAGGAAUUUCAGCUUCCUUUUAAGGGAUUUCAAGUUGUUGGAUAUCAUUCUCAACUUGUAGAUCUACAGAGAUCAACCAGAUCGUAUAAGAGAAGUCCGAGCUCUGUUUAGAGGUGCUGCAUCAACGAAGAAAGAAGCAGAAAGUGGUUUGGGCUAGCCACAAAAAUUACUUUUG